AAGUCGAACGCUGAAGCCCCAGCUUGCUGGGGUGGAUGAGUGGCGAACGGGUGAGUAACACGUGAGUAACCUGCCCCUGACUUCGGGAUAAGCCCGGGAAACUGGGUCUAAUACCGGAUACGACCUGUCCUCGCAUGAGGGUGGGUGGAAAGUUUUUUCGGUUGGGGAUGGGCUCGCGGCCUAUCAGUUUGUUGGUGAGGUAAUGGCUCACCAAGACGACGACGGGUAGCCGGCCUGAGAGGGCGACCGGCCACACUGGGACUGAGACACGGCCCAGACUCCUACGGGAGGCAGCAGUGGGGAAUAUUGCACAAUGGGGGAAACCCUGAUGCAGCGACGCAGCGUGCGGGAUGACGGCCUUCGGGUUGUAAACCGCUUUCAGCAGGGAAGAAGCGAAAGUGACGGUACCUGCAGAAGAAGUACCGGCUAACU
RNAcentral lists this ribosomal RNA (432 nucleotides) under Actinomycetales bacterium. RNAcentral describes it as "bacterial SSU rRNA". It matches the Rfam family "Bacterial small subunit ribosomal RNA", at positions 59 to 502 of the family's 1533-position model. The record is from RNAcentral. Lineage: Bacteria; Bacillati; Actinomycetota; Actinomycetes; Actinomycetales.